GCCUGGGUGGCUCAGUUGGUUGAGCGUCCGACUUCAGCUCAGGUCAUGGUCUCAUGGUAGGUCCGUGGGUUCGAGCCCCGUGUCAGGCU
This 89-nucleotide transfer RNA is filed under the name Felis catus (domestic cat). It matches the Rfam family "tRNA". Rfam says of the family: Transfer RNA (tRNA) molecules are approximately 80 nucleotides in length. Their secondary structure includes four short double-helical elements and three loops (D, anti-codon, and T loops). Lineage: Eukaryota; Metazoa; Chordata; Mammalia; Carnivora; Felidae. The record is from Rfam by way of RNAcentral.